RNAcentral lists this microRNA precursor (102 nucleotides) under Canis lupus familiaris (dog). RNAcentral's name for it is "mir-8834 microRNA precursor family". It matches the Rfam family "mir-8834 microRNA precursor family". RNAcentral also lists the same sequence under 1 other name. Lineage: Eukaryota; Metazoa; Chordata; Mammalia; Carnivora; Canidae. The record is from Rfam by way of RNAcentral.
AGGAGCAACCGCAGUGGCCGGGCCAGCUCUGCAGCCCUGGAGUCAGCUCCCGCAGUAACUCCGGAGCUCUCCGUCUGCAGGGCCUGGAGGCUCUGGGGCGGA